This 539-nucleotide ribosomal RNA is filed under the name uncultured bacterium. Its description in RNAcentral is "partial 16S ribosomal RNA". It matches the Rfam family "Bacterial small subunit ribosomal RNA", at positions 355 to 911 of the family's 1533-position model. The record is from RNAcentral.
UGGGGAAUAUUGCACAAUGGGCGAAAGCCUGAUGCAGCAACGCCGCGUGAGUGAUGAAGGUCUUCGGAUUGUAAAGCUCUGUCUUUUGGGACGAUAAUGACGGUACCAAAGGAGGAAGCCACGGCUAACUACGUGCCAGCAGCCGCGGUAAUACGUAGGUGGCGAGCGUUGUCCGGAUUUACUGGGCGUAAGGGUGCGUAGGCGGAUGUUUAAGUGAGAUGUGAAAUACCCGGGCUUAACUUGGGUGCUGCAUUUCAAACUGGAUAUCUAGAGUGCAGGAGAGGAGAAUGGAAUUCCUAGUGUAGUGGUGAAAUGCGUAGAGAUUAGGAAGAACACCAGUGGCGAAGGCGAUUCUCUGGACUGUAACUGACGCUGAGGCACGAAAGCGUGGGUAGCAAACAGGAUUAGAUACCCUGGUAGUCCACGCCGUAAACGAUGAGUACUAGGUGUAGGAGGUAUCGACCCUUUCUGUGCCGCAGUAAACACAUUAAGUACUCCGCCUGGGAAGUACGAUCGCAAGAUUAAAACUCUAAAGUGAA